This is a non-coding RNA of Elaeis guineensis (African oil palm), 707 nucleotides long. NCBI's taxonomy places the organism in Eukaryota, Viridiplantae, Streptophyta, Magnoliopsida, Arecales, Arecaceae. The record is from RefSeq and is a predicted model, not a curated record.
AGCACCCACGCCCUCAUUCGUGACCGGCCAGUCCCACCGCCGACGCCCUCAUUCGUGACACCGAAAUCCCUUCCUCUUCCUCGUUCGUGACGCCCCAAAUCCCCACCACCGACUCCCUCGUUUGUUCUCCCGCAAUCUCACCGCCGCCAGCAACCUCGCCGUUCCCUCAUCUGUCGCCACCUCGCCACACCGCGUCGCUGUGCGGCCGUGCCUUUGCCGGGCCGCCUCGCCGUGCCGUCGUGCAGACCGACGCCUCCAUCUCCCAGCAAUCCCAAAGUACCACUUGUUCUCCUUCUUCCUCCUCCUCCUCCGAUUGACGCAAGACCCCAUGUCCCCAAUUGCCAGAAAAAUGGCAUCCAUUUCUUUUAGGAAGAGAUCGUAGAGAAACCGAUUCUGAUCUGGUUGCAGUGGGCUUGGCACGAGCAACAUGGCCCUGGGCCUGCCAUGUUCAGGACCUGGACACCUGGUGGAGGGUAAUCUCAAACAGGGACAGAGAGAUCUUUUGAAGUGCAUGGGUCAAUCUCAAAGAAAAGUUGAGAGAAAGUUGGACGGUAAUGAGAAAUAUUCAUUUCUAUUUACAAAAUAGAUGUAACGGUUCUUCCAUUGUGAUUUUCUUUUGAAUCUUUACUGACAUGUACAUAGUUAAAUUAUUUAUAUAUCAUAAAUAAUAGUAUCCUUCAUUUUAUAUGAAAGCUACAUUAUACUAA